RNAcentral lists this ribosomal RNA (482 nucleotides) under uncultured bacterium. RNAcentral describes it as "partial 16S ribosomal RNA". It matches the Rfam family "Bacterial small subunit ribosomal RNA", at positions 28 to 523 of the family's 1533-position model. The record is from RNAcentral.
GAUGAACGCUGGCGGCGUGCUUAACACAUGCAAGUCGAACGAUGAAGCCCAGCUUGCUGGGUGGAUUAGUGGCGAACGGGUGAGUAACACGUGAGUAACCUGCCCCCGACUCUGGGAUAAGCCCGGGAAACUGGGUCUAAUACCGGAUAUGACCUCGCACCGCAUGGUGCGGGGUGGAAAGAUUUAUCGGUGGGGGAUGGACUCGCGGCCUAUCAGCUUGUUGGUGAGGUAAUGGCUCACCAAGGCGACUACGGGUAGCCGGCCUGAGAGGGUGACCGGCCACACUGGGACUGAGACACGGCCCAGACUCCUACGGGAGGCAGCAGUGGGGAAUAUUGCACAAUGGGCGAAAGCCUGAUGCAGCGACGCCGCGUGAGGGAUGACGGCCUUCGGGUUGUAAACCUCUUUCAGUAGGGAAGAAGCGAAAGUGACGGUACCUGCAGAAGAAGCGCCGGCUAACUACGUGCCAGCAGCCGCAGUAA